AUUAAAUGAAUUCUGAUUUCUUAAUUGACACAGUCUAUUUAAAAGAUUACUUAAUACUAGAUUUCUGUAAGUCAUUAUUUUCAUGCUGUAGAGCUUUAGAAACAGGAUUAAUAUUUUCAAAUAGUGAGGGGGGAGACAACUUUUUGUGACGGACGGAUGGACACACCGAAAUUAAAAGAUUUCCUUGUUUAUCACUACGGACCCCUAAUAAAUGGGUUGGGUAGUACUUACCUUUCCAAUCUAAAUCACUCACAGCAUCUUGUCUCUGAAAAAAUAAAGAAAUUGUGGGCACUUUUUUUAUAACCUCGUCCCUUUUCUGUUAAUUUUUCUUUUCUCAGCGCCGGUGAAUUACAAUGUAAUGCACAUUUAUAUAAUAUAAAGCGCGUAAAUAAAAAGUGCACUGCACUCCGUGGUUUAACAUCCAAUGCAAAGUACAACAACGUACACGUACAUCGCGAUAUCGAUGAAGGAUUCCCGGGGACUCCCCGCGGGGAAAAAAGGAAUUGCUUUAUAGAAUUUUGUCAUUUGUAAAAUAAAAUAAAUUAGAUAGUUUUUAUUCUUUUCUUGCACACAUUGGGGGCCCCCGUGGCCCGGGGGCCUCGUAUAAUUGAUACGGCAAAUACGGCGGUAGCUACGCCCCUGAGUAUUCUAUAUAUAAAUAUCAGAUAGCUGCAACGAGUAUAAAAUCAGAACAAACAGUCGUGCCAAAAACACAAUCAAAUCAAUUCAGUUCAGCAUAGACAACAUUGUUUUUGUUUUCGGAUCGUUGUACUCGCUAUCGAAUACGCAUUUGAAAUUUCCUCAUUCGAAACGUGUUCUCGUUUGUACGAAAGAAUCGAAGAUACACUCGUUAGCUAUUUGAGAAACGUUAUAGUACAAAAAAAUUAAUAUAUCAGUUAAAAUAAUCGGAGGCAAAACCAUCAGGACUUGGCAAAGGGGGAAGGCAAAGUUGCGGCAAAUAAGCAAUGGGAUGCAUUGACGCUAAAAGUUAACGCUGCCGGGCCACCGAUGAAAAAUGCCAAUUCUUGGAAAAAAGUAUAAGCAGCAGAAGAGCAACUCCUCCAAGCUACGGAGAUAAAUGUUGCAGUAGAAGGGUUGACAAUAGUUAAAUCUUUUGGAACUGUAGUGCCAGAAGAAGGUUUAAAUGAGUUGGUAGAGGUGAUUAUUAAUAGCGAGGAAGAAGAAGAAGCCUACUGUUGAAAGCGAAAAGCUUUCUCUUUUGAAAUCCAAUUUUCGCGCAUAUGAAAGAACGCAAGCCCAAAUCAAUAAAAAUAUUGAGAAACUAAUUACUUUAAAGGAGAGAUCGCUGCAAAUAAAAGAAGAGGCAUAUACAGCAGAUAUGCAAAAAAAGCUGUCGAGUUGCGGAUUAAAAUUUAUGAGCUUGAUAUUUUAAAGAGAAAAGUUCAGAAAUAAACACCAAUAUAUACGAUAUGUUAAUUCCAAGUUACUGUUUUUAUUGAAAAUAUAUUUAUUAAAGCAAAAUAUGAAUUCAACUGUUGUUGGAACAUUUAGUUCAAUUAUUAUCUAAAGACAACAUAAUAUGCUCUCUAAUUUGAUGACCAAUUUUAGUUAAUUGAAUCUCAUUUUCCGUAUCUAUUUCUGUAUCAUUGUUUUCGUUCACAAAAUAUUUGCAAUUUUGAUCUGAUUUUUAAAUUGUAUUACUAUAUCGACUUCAUGUAUCAUUACUGAGAAUUUUCCACCGGUCUUUCAGUAUACCAAUGGUUCGUUCAGCAAGAAGCGUGCUUGGCAAGAGCCAAGUUCGGCGUUUCUAAAUAGUGUCAAACACCAUGGUUCCAAAGGAUAUCCAGAAUGUCCUGUUAAUUGAGCAAAUACGUAUGUAAAUAUGUCUGUAAAUAUAUUUUACAGUUGAAUAAGUGCAUUUAUUACCCAAAAGCCAGAUGUUUCUCAUAUUGUUUUGAUUAUAUGCUUAGGGUUAAUUUUUUUUGCCUGCAAAAACUAAAUUUGGUAAAUUUAUAUAUAAACGUAUAAAAAAUUUUAAUAUUUACGUUCAAUUCUAAUUCAAAAACUUUUUUCUUUUGUUUUGUUUCGUAUUUUAUCUUAUUCGAAAAUGUCAUUUAGAGCUACACCAGGGAAGUUAAUUCAUACAAUUUCUAUGACGAUCUGCACCCUCGACACGUUACGCAAUUUCACUGUUCUUCGGCAAUCACGUUCGAGUAAAUGGUAUGGCUGGCUUCAGUUCGAAUCGUAUCAUGUCAGUUCAUAGCGUUGCGACGAUUGUUUGAAUGGAUGUAAAACUUAGGGUAAAUUAUAAGUAAAUUUGCCAGUAAAUCCAUGAGUACAGCAAACAACAACAAUUUUCUGCUGGACUUUCAUUCCGAAAACAUACAUAAAUGAAUUAAACCUGGAUACAACUGGAAAUGCAUAUUCCAACAAAGGUGACUAAGCAAAUAGAAUUAGAAAAAGUUUUUUAGUUUUUUUUGAGAUAAGUUCAUAGUGGGUAUAAUUAUUGUAUCCGUUUCGAUCGAUCGUUGAAAUCAUUGAAAUCGUAUCGAAAAUGAAGUUUUCGAUGCAAUUGAGAUUACUUCCCGACUCGAAUAAAUGGCGCUAAUUUCGGAAUCAUUGAAGCCGCAAAAUGGAAUCGACGAAAUCUAUCCGUUGAUGAUUUGUAAGUAUUUAUGUAUGUAAAAAAAUGUGCGUGGUUCAGCUUCUGGCAAUGAGAAAUUUACAUUGAAAUCUCCCGCAAGGAGUACCGGUUGUUCGCUACACUCUACUGGUUCUCCUAUAAUAUCUGCAAAAGCUUGCGAACCUGCUGUUUACAACGGUCAUAAAACUUUACCGAUGAAAAAUUUUAUAUCUCUCAUCGAUGAAUUUUGUGAUAUAUAAAUGGCAAUUAAAUUCAAUUUUUUACUAUUAUGAUUAUCGCUAGGGUUCAUUUUGCAUUCUACCGCACACAAAUCGCCAAUUCUUGUUGAUGUUGAUAUCGUCACAUCAGCAUCACUCGCGUACGGAGCCCUUAUAUCCAAAUGAGGAGUGAGAAUAUGGCAUUUGUCUUGCUCAUUUCCUUUUUUCAUUUCGUUGAAAUCUUACAACGAAAUCAAAAUUUGGUACGGAUACAGGAGGCUCGUUGUCGUUUAUAAAUGUUUCUGAUAACAUCAUGAUGUUUGACUAUUUAAACACUCUAACUGAGAAAUCAUCAACAUGAGCACGAAGACUUUGACAAUUGAAUGAUAUUAUUGAUAAACAUUUUCUUGUGCUAAGAAACUCGAAUAAUUCUUUUUCUAAGGUGAUAAUUGGAUCUUGUCGUAAUUUUAUCAUUUCAUCUCGCAAAGCGCGACAUGACCUUUCAUUGCUUAAUGCCAUGAUAGAAUUUUUUCUGUUUGUUCACUGGAAGUUUACAUUACUUCUUUAAUGGCAACAGCUCUUGACAGUGCGAUAUAAACUAACUGUUGAGAUUGAACUUUUUCAUAAUAGUAAACAAUUUCAUUCAAGUUCUUCCUUGCGACUUGUGAAUUGCCAACCCACAAGACUGACUACAGAAAUGAUCUUGUGAAGUAUAGUCUUAACUUUUCAACGGCCAACGCAGAGUAUUUAACAAAAAGUCACACAAAGAAUUCGCAGAAAUGAAACAGAAGCAAAAGAAAUAAAGUCACAAAAAAUAGUUGAGAAUUCGCAGAAAUGAAAGACAAACGAAAGAAAAAUAAUGCGCAAGCAUAUAAACAUAUAUAAGCGCACUGUACUUAUUGACUGCAUUAUUUUUGUGUAAAACCUUGGAAUUUAUUCAUUAAAAUCACCAUUCAGAAGUCGUUUUAUCCGUUGUAAGCGAGCGAUUUUCGAAGAAACAUCAUUUCUAAUAUGCCACAAGACAAAAUUAGAAAUGAAGUUCAUAAACCUCACGAUGUCAGAUAAAACGGUAUACCUCGUCAUCGCGGGUCGAUUUCCAAAAUAUGUAAAUGAAGACUAACUACAGAAAUGAUGCUGUGAAGUAUAGCCUUAAUUUUUCAAAGGCCAACGCAGAGUAUUUCAACCAAAAGUCACACAAAAUAGUUGAGAAUUCGCAGAAAUGAAAGACAAACGAAAGAAAAAGAAGUAUAACUUCAAUAAUGCUCAAGCAUACAAAUAUACAUAUGCGCACACAUGUGAAUAUGUCACCAACCCAAAAUUGAAACAUUGUUCUACAAAAACAACAAUAGCAUAAGCAUGGCAACAUUGUGUUGUUGGUAGAAAAGCCGAGCUGUGCCGAAAGAAACGAUCUCCGAUUGUCGCCGCUUCCCUUGCUACUCGAACAUCUUCGCAGGCAAGAUUGCGCAACAUGAAUCUAUCGCAACCUUUUCCGAACUCGUAUAAGAAGUAUAACUUCAAAAAUAGCUGAAUUAAAUUAUGUUUUAAAUGUGUGAUUUAGAGACAAGAAAUAAAAACACACCAACAAAAAUCAAUUUGAAUUACUAGCGGAUAUAAUGAAGUUGCACCCAGACAUAUGUACAUAUGUAGCUAAAGGAUUUCAUCAAAGAGCACCCGCAGAAAUAAAUACUUUUUGGGAAGACACCUCAGAAAAGUUAAACGCUAUAAAAAAACAUCACGCGUUUAUAUUAUUGGUUCAUUUAUAGGUUUGGGCUGAUCUGAAAUUUGCAGUUAAAAGAGAAAUGAUUAAAAAUACAAAGCAAAUUUCUGGAACAGGAGGUGGGCCCUUCAACCAAGUAAAUUUAAGUUCCCUCGAAGAAGAUGUCAGCGCUAUACUUUCCCUUAAUACAUCAGUAGUGGGACUGUGAUGGAAAAAAUAUCAAUUGAUAAAUUAGAAACCAAAAAACAAAUUUUAUAACUUGAACUACAACAUAUAAAUAAGCCAUACGUUUUUAUUUUUAAUUUAUAAUAAUUCAUUUAAUGAAUUUUUUUUUUUUUAAUAUGAAUACAUACUAUGAACUUAUAUUAAAAGAAGUUUAAUAAAGUAUCUCUAACUCUAUUUGCUCCGUCGGUAGGCAUAUCAUCUAUAUCACUUAAAUUUUUUUGAAAUAUGCCUUUUCAUGUGAACUAAAAUGCAAACGAAUAUUAUGCAAUGCGCAGCAUAAUUUAAAAAUAUAUACCUUAUUUACUACAAAGACAACGAAAUACCGAUUUUAAUAAACCUAUGGUUUUCUUAAUAACAAUUCGACCUUUAGUGUGUUGAAUCUCCUUUUUCGGACGCAUGUUAUUUGUUCCCUAAACGGAGUUAUGAGCCACGGUUGAAGAUGGUAGCCUUUGUCACCUUUACAAAAUAUAUAUUCGAUUAGUACAUUCGUAUAAAUUGAUAGUAUUUUUUAGCUAAUUAUUCUUAGCAAGUAUUAAAUAUGCAUAUCUUCUGCCAGGAUAUUUAACACAUGCGUAUCGUAUUUGCAUCUUGUGGUCGCACAUCUUUAUAUGAAAAACAUAUAUGUAUAUGUAUAUAAAGAAUACUGAGUGAAGUUAUUUUUGAAAAAGUCUCACCACCAUAACAUUCCGACUUAAGAAUCCUUUGCCGUUAAAAUACAGAGGCUUAUCUCUUAACGGCGCCAUUAUCUUUACGUAACAACUGCCAUUGCCGCAGCAAGAUUUGCCAAAAAAAUAUGUUUUUGCUUCUAAUUCCUCGCUGGCGGUCAUGUCAAUGGAAAUCCAUCUUGAGCAUAGCCUGUACUCAGGAAUUUUGAGUACUUCAUCUAAUAGAACACAAAAUAUAUUAAAGUCCUUUCCAAUACAUUUUUGAUAUGAAUCAACUUCUGUCAAUUACUGCAAUAUAUUGCCCGCCGGGGUACAAAAUCCUCGUUGAAGAAUAUAAAGAACCUUUCAAUAUGCACCCAUACAAAUUUAUUAUGAGAGGCGACUUUAAUGCGAAGCAUGUUUACUGGGGAUCUUGUCUAACGACAGCUAAAGGCCGAGACUUUUUCCAGGCAGCUCAAGAAACGCGGUGUGAGUUUGUAUCGACCGGAACACCGACUUACUGGCCAACGGAUACCAAAAAAAUACCAGAUGUAAUAGACUUCUUUAUAUCCAGGAAGAUAUCUCGAAAUUUCAUCGAAACAGAAGGUUUAAAACUAAGUGAAACAGUUAUUAAGAGAGACUUUAUUCAAACAAAUACUUUAGACUAAAAAAAGUGUCCAUAAAUCACAAAAAUUGGACAACUAGAGUUAGAAGUUGACACAUUUACGAAAGAAAUUCAACAAGCAGCUUGGGAUACUACUUCGGUGAUAUAGCGGAAAAUUAAAUGUUAAAAUUAAAAGAAAUAAAAAUCUUCCUAAAUAUGAAAACAAAGUUACGAUGGAAAUGCCGACAAACAAGCUCACCACUCCAAAAAAAUUAAACAUGAGUUCCUCAGCGAAGUAUCUUAGGUCCACUUUUAUAUAUUCUAUAUACAAGAGUCCUACCGUUAGUACCAACCAGUAUGACUAUCACUACGCGUCGAAAAACAGCUGGAACGGCUGGCUGAAUUUGCAACAUGCAAUUAACUCUGUAGUAAGUUGGACAUAAAAAUGGAGAAUAAAACUAAACGGUGAAAAAUUGGUUUAUGUAAAUUUUACAAACAAAAUACCUAUUAUAGAUGCCUGCAUACGUUACCUGUCUAUACACAACAAAGUAUGGUAUUUCUUUAUAAACAAAUAAUCAAGUCGGUAUGGUCAUAUGGUGCACAACUGUGGGCAUGUGCCAAUGAUAGCAGUGUUAAUAUUAUACAACAUUUUCAAAAAAGCAUAAAUGCUUAUGUUCAUCGAGACCUGAAUACAUUUGCCGAAGAAAUAAAGAGUCAGGCGGAUGCCCACUACAAAAGGCUUAAUGCACAUGUGAACGAGGAGGCGAGAAAUCUCGUUUUAGACACAUGCCUCUCUAGACAACUAUGUCGAAAAACACCAUAUAGUUCAGUUGGAAGCUAAAACAUAUACAUAUAUGAAAUUUAUCAUUAAUGUCUAAAUAAUUUUUUUGUAAGUUAUACAAAUCAAAGUGCUCGUUAGUAUUGAAAACUAGCUGUAGUGAUAUCAAACAUUGUUAUAGUUUUAAAUGUUUGUAACAGAAAAAAAUUGGACCACUGCACAAAGAUGGACAAAUAGCAAUAUCUAAAUACAUUGAAGGACCAUCUUCCUAAUUUCAUUACAAGUCUUGGAAAAUCUUGUUGAGAGUAUGCCAAAACGUAUGAAAAGCGUAAAAUAUUUAUAUUACUUGUAUAAUAAAAUUCAAUUUAACAUUCUUAUUUGCAGAUAAGAAAAUUAAAAUAUCAAAGGUGCAUAAAUGAGUACUACGAGUUGUUUUGGUUUUAAUUUUUUAUAUUUUUCUUUGUGCACCUAAUCGUUGAUCUUUUAUUGUAAAUUUAUAGUAAAUUAUAUAUUGAAUAAGGAAAAUAAACAUUUCUACCAUUUGCUUUACUGUUUUCUUUCUCAUUCUCUCCAA
Long non-coding RNA from Bactrocera dorsalis (oriental fruit fly), 7344 nucleotides. RefSeq lists it as uncharacterized. The record is from RefSeq and is a predicted model, not a curated record. The transcript is spliced from 3 exons. Lineage: Eukaryota; Metazoa; Arthropoda; Insecta; Diptera; Tephritidae.